AUCCUUUUUUGGCUUGUAGAUGUGACGAUUGGGAGCUCAUGCUAUUAUUGUGUGAGAUGUACUAUCCUCAAACCUUAUGACACUGUCACAUUUGAUG
RNAcentral lists this small nucleolar RNA (97 nucleotides) under Canis lupus familiaris (dog). RNAcentral's name for it is "Small nucleolar RNA U13 (multiple genes)". It matches the Rfam family "Small nucleolar RNA U13". The record is from Rfam by way of RNAcentral. Lineage: Eukaryota; Metazoa; Chordata; Mammalia; Carnivora; Canidae. RNAcentral also lists the same sequence under 1 other name.